AUGGGAUCUCCAUGGGAUCUCCAUGGGAUUUCCAUGGGAUUUCCAUGGGAUGAGGUUGGGAUGGGAUCUCCACAGGAUUUCCAUGGGUUGGGUUUGGGAUGGGAUCUCCAUGGGAUUUCCAUGGGAUUUCCAUGGGUUGGGAUGGGAUCUCCAUGGGAUUUCCAUGGGAUCUCCGUGGGAUUUCCAUGGGUUGGGGUUGGGAUGGGAUCUCCACGGGAUUUCCGUGGGAUUGGGAUGGGAUUUCCAUGGGAUUUCCAUGGGUUGGGGUUGGGAUGGGAUCUCCAUGGGAUUUCCAUGGGAUUUCCAUUGGAGGAGGUUGGGAUGGGAUCUCCGUGGGAUUUCCAUGGGAUGAGGUUGGGAUGGGAUCUCCAUGGGAUUUCCGUGGGAUCUCUAUGGGAUUUCCAUUGGAUGGGGUUGGGAUGGGAUCUCCAUGGGAUUUCCAUGGGAUUGGGAUGGUAUUUCCAUGAGAUUUCCAUGGGUUGGGGUUGGGAUGGGAUCUCCACGGGAUUUCCGUGGGAUUUCCACGGGACGGGAACGAGGCCGGACUCUGCGCAGGCUGGGAUCCCUGCGGGGCCGGGAGCGGCACCAGGAAGGGCCUUGGCCGAGGGUAACGCUGUCCCCGAGGGGGUGUCACACGGUGUCACACAGUGUCACACACCCGAGUGUCACACGUCACCCGGGACACGGAGCACAGGCACACCUGUCCUCGUGUCACCGUCACACACCCGAGUGUCACACGUCACCCGGGACACCGAGCACAGGCACACCUGUCCUCGUGUCACCGUCACACACCCGAGUGUCACACGUCACCCGGGACACGGAGCACAGGCACACCUGUCCUUGUGUCACCGUCACACACCCGAGUGUCACACGUCACCCGGCAGGGACACGGAGCACAGGCACACCUGUCCUCGUGUCACCGUCACACACCCGAGUGUCACACGUCACCCGGGACACCGAGCACAGGCACACCUGUCCUCGUGUCACCGUCACACACCCGAGUGUCACACACGCUGUCCCACAGUGUCACACACCUGA
This 1038-nucleotide long non-coding RNA is filed under the name Chloebia gouldiae (Gouldian finch). RNAcentral describes it as "Erythrura gouldiae (Gouldian finch) lncRNA (ENSEGOG00005017338.1)". The record is from RNAcentral. Lineage: Eukaryota; Metazoa; Chordata; Aves; Passeriformes; Passeridae.